Molecule: long non-coding RNA, 822 nt
Organism: Suncus etruscus (white-toothed pygmy shrew)
Lineage: Eukaryota; Metazoa; Chordata; Mammalia; Eulipotyphla; Soricidae
Exons: 2
Source: RefSeq, a predicted model, not a curated record
AUAAAUAACAUGAUUACAUCUCAAGCUACAUUUGGGUUACAUUUAAUUUUACCUCCCACUAUAUUCUAGGUGUAUACCACCAAAGACUGCAGUUUAGUUAGGUUCUAAGGUAAGACUUAAGGAAGUCAUCUUUACUUAGGGAACGAUUCUAAUAUAGGUAGAUAGCCUAAAUUGCUUAUUAUCUUUUGUUAAUUAGUAAAUAUGGUGGGAGUCAAAAUAUUUUAUAAACCAAGUUCUUGCUUCAUCAGUGCAUAUAUCAUGGGAGCACUGGAAGAUGCUUUUAUUCACUGAUUUUUACAGAAGGAAAUUUCUCAGCUCAAGGAGGAAGAUGUCUGGUGAUGAUGGCUAGAGGAAUAUCUCAUAACAAACCUGUUGAGCCAAGGAACAGAGGUGACUAGGAGCAGGUGUGUUCCAGCCCAGUGGCUUAAAAUCAAAUGGAAAUUAAAAGGUGAGAAUGAAGAUAGUUACUGAGAUCCCACCAAGGAUUUCUCUAAUGUUCAAGUUAAGGUAGAUGGGCAAAGAGUGGAAAGGGAUGAAUGGAAAAUAGGAAAUCUGUAUUUUGGCAAGAUCUCAUGUGACUGAAAGACAAGUCAAGGCUGCAAAUGUACAAUGGUCUGUCAUUAAAAAAAUGUUUUUACUGUAAUGAUUUGCUUUCCAGGGGGACUUAAAGCAGUUAUUGAACAAAUGUGGUAAGAGUAAAGACUGACCUUCUGAAGACCUGUUUAGUUUGGUGUUCAAGAGAACCUACCAAGGUUAUAUUACACAGCUACUAAUAUCUAAUUCCAUGACACCAAAAGUCAUAAACUAAAUUAUCAGAAGUCA